RNAcentral lists this ribosomal RNA (253 nucleotides) under uncultured bacterium. RNAcentral's name for it is "partial 16S ribosomal RNA". It matches the Rfam family "Bacterial small subunit ribosomal RNA", at positions 524 to 776 of the family's 1533-position model. The record is from RNAcentral.
UACGGAGGGAGCUAGCGUUGUUCGGAAUUACUGGGCGUAAAGCGCACGUAGGCGGCUUUGUAAGUUAGAGGUGAAAGCCUGGGGCUCAACUCCAGAAUUGCCUUUAAGACUGCAUCGCUUGAAUCAUGGAGAGGCGGGUGGAAUUCCGAGUGUAGAGGUGAAAUUCGUAGAUAUUGGGAGGAACACCGGUGGCGAAGGCGACCACCUGGACAGAGACUGACGCUGAGGCGCGAAAGCGUGGGGAGCAAACAGG